GAUCCUGGCUCAGAUUGAACGCUGGCGGCAUGCCUUACACAUGCAAGUCGAACGGCAGCGCGGACUUCGGUCUGGCGGCGAGUGGCGAACGGGUGAGUAAUGUAUCGGAACGUGCCCUAGAGUGGGGGAUAACGUAGCGAAAGUUACGCUAAUACCGCAUACGAUCUAUGGAUGAAAGUGGGGGACCGUAAGGCCUCACGCUCAUGGAGCGGCCGAUAUCUGAUUAGCUAGUUGGUAGGGUAAAAGCCUACCAAGGCGACGAUCAGUAGCUGGUCUGAGAGGACGACCAGCCACACUGGGACUGAGACACGGCCCAGACUCCUACGGGAGGCAGCAGUGGGGAAUUUUGGACAAUGGGGGCAACCCUGAUCCAGCAAUGCCGCGUGUGUGAAGAAGGCCUUCGGGUUGUAAAGCACUUUUGUCAGGAACGAAAAGGUUUGGCCUAAUAAGCUGAGCUCAUGACGGUACCGUAAGAAUAAGCACCGGCUAACUACGUG
Molecule: ribosomal RNA, 497 nt
Filed under: uncultured bacterium
Lineage: Bacteria
Description: bacterial SSU rRNA
Rfam family: Bacterial small subunit ribosomal RNA
Source: RNAcentral